Molecule: ribosomal RNA, 502 nt
Filed under: uncultured bacterium
Lineage: Bacteria
Description: partial 16S ribosomal RNA
Rfam family: Bacterial small subunit ribosomal RNA
Source: RNAcentral
GAUGAACGCUAGCGGCAGGCCUAACACAUGCAAGUCGAGGGGCAGCACAGAAACAGCAAUGUUUUGGUGGCGACCGGCGGACGGGUGCGUAACGCGUAUGCAACCUACCUUUAACAGGGGGAUAACGGAGAGAAAUUUCCACUAAUACCCCAUAACAUCGAUCAAGGCAUCUUGAUUGGUUGAAAACUCCGGUGGUUAAAGAUGGGCAUGCGUUGUAUUAGGUAGUUGGUGAGGUAAUGGCUCACCAAGCCUACGAUACAUAGGGAGACUGAGAGGUUAGCCCCCCACACUGGUACUGUGACACGGACCAGACUCCUACGGGAGGCAGCAGUGAGGAAUAUUGGUCAAUGGGGGCAACCCUGAACCAGCCAUGCCGCGUGCAGGAAGACGGCUCUAUGAGUUGUAAACUGCUUUUAAACAGGGAUAAAGCACAGUAUGUAUACUGUGUUGAAGGUACUGUAAGAAUAAGGAUCGGCUAACUCCGUGCCAGCAGCCGCGGUAA